GCUACAUUACAAGAAGCAAAAAGAAACAGAUAAAAUGAAUUUCCAUAAUGUAUUUUAUUUAACCCAAUAUAUCCGACAUUAUCAUUUCAGCAUAUAAUCAAUAUAAAGAAUUAUGAGAUAUUUUUCUUUUUACUUUUUCAUACUCAAUUUUCCAAAUCUGGUGUACAUUUCAUACUAAGAGCACAUCUGAAUUUGGACAAGCUGCAUUUCAAGUGCAAUAGCUACACAGGGCUUAUGUCUACCUCACUAGACAGCACAACUUUAGAACAUGGGCUUCAUUUCUUUAUUUACAUGAGAAAACCGAGGCUCAGGGAGGAUAAGUAGUUUUCCCAAGGUCACGUGGCUGGCAAGUGGUUGACCCAGGAUUCUACCCUAGGUUAGCUGGACACCAAAGGCUUUACUCUUUCUACUGUACCACAUUGGCUGCUUCAACAGGCAGGAUUUGGGGGGGGGGGGGCGGGGGGAGGAAGCACUGGAUCACAGCCUUGCUUUUGAGAUGUAAACCAUUUCCCUUUUCCUUAGCCCAUGGGGUCUAAAUCUAUCUCUGACUUCCAAGCCUUCCACAGUUUAGCCUUUAGUGGUUCAUCCCCACUGUUCUCCAUUCAUGCCAGUCUCCCUUCCCACCCUGCACACAUAUAAUAUUAACCUGGACAUAGUUUACUCCUGCACUACCUACCCUUCCAGUGUCAGUUCACCAACUCUUUGAAAGAAGAUGGGCUCUUCUUUCUUUCCUGGUGGUGCUAUAUCUCCAGAAAGGUUGCGAAGGUCCCAGGAAUAUGAGGGAGCAAGAGGAAUCGGUCAAGUUUCCUCACUGUGAUGGGCCGAGGAGCUCUGUGUAUUCCCUGUGGAUAGUGGCCUGCCACUGGAGAGGCCACAGGCUGGAGCAAGGAGCUGACUCAUAGGGUAAGGAGAAAAUGGCCUGGAUCUUUCACAGAGAUUCAAGUAAUUCCUAGUACUCUACCUUCAGUGGGACACUUCUAAAAAUGAAUAAAGAAUUCCAACAAAUCAAUAAGAAAAAGACAAACAACCCAAAAGAAAAAUGGAUAAAAGAAAUGAACCAGAAAAUCAAAGAAGAAGAAAUGGCCAAUAAUGAUACGAAAAGAUGAAUGAUCUGUAUUAUAGUCUUUUGCAAUUUGCUGUUUUCAAUACAACACUAUGACUCUAAGCUUUUCAUCCACCCGUGGUAUUGUGUGUGGCAAUAUUCAUUUUCACUAGUGUGACAGUAUUUCAUUGGGUGAGUAUUCCACAAUUCUAUUCUCCCCAAAAUACAUGUAGCAUGAAUCUAUAUUUAUAAUGCUCAAAAACAGCUACAAAUCAUAUAUUAUAUUGCAAAACAAUACUUGAUAGAACUAUCUUUUUUUUAAAAAGCCAAGUAAUGAUAAAGACAAAUUUCAAGAUAAUGUUUCCUUGGGGAAGGGGGAGAUUGACAUUGGGGAUGGGAUGAGAGAAUGUAUCUGUUAUCUAUUGCUGCAUAAGGAACCACACUGAAGCUUAGUGGCUUAAAACAAAAAUCAAUUAUUUCUCAUGAUUCUCUGGGUCAAGACUUCCCACAGGGUUCUUCCACACAGAACCAUCUGGCCCUCUCGUGCAACUGCAUUCAGCAGGACUGGGCUGGAUGGUCAAGAUGGCCCCACCCUCAAGGCUGCUAUGCCUUGGACCUUUUCUACUUGAUUUCUCUCACCAUGUGGUGUCUCAUCCUCCAGGGCCUCUUUUUCCAUGUGGCCUUUCCCUCCAGCAGGGUAGACUGGAUGUUCUUUACAAGGAGAAAACACCCACAGAGUACUUGUGUAAUUAAAACUUAAUUACAAUUAAAAUAUAUUACCUAAUGAAAGAGUGCUCUGUGGCCAGAUCAUUUUUGGAAAUGCUGCAUACAGCAUCCCCUGUUAGAGCUUCAUAAUGCAAAAAAUAAAAAAAUAAAAAAAAAAUAAAGCUUGCUAAAGGCUUUGAGAAGUCUCACAAGGAGCAAAGAAGAAAAGACCUGCUUUGGUGAAAGGAGCUGGUAAGAGAAGGCAGAAGCGCUCCACCUUCUCUGUCCUCAGGGAUAUAGGAACGGAGUACUGAGGUAGAGAAAGCUGGAAGGCUGGGGCUCAUCAUCUGAACUCUGCUACUCCUCCUUCAAAGCGCAGUGUAACUGAGGGAGGCUCUGACAGCCUCACACGUGAGGCCGGAAGUGGCCUGGAGGCCAGAGAGUCAACAGUGCUGCUCCUGGAAUUAGGUCACCUAGGUCCCAGUCCCUCCCCGCUGCCCUGCCCUGCUCUUGAAUUAGCUCACUUUCCUGACUCCUAUCUCUAAUUUGCU
Neofelis nebulosa (Clouded leopard) is the source of this 2298-nucleotide long non-coding RNA. RefSeq lists it as uncharacterized. The record is from RefSeq and is a predicted model, not a curated record. The transcript is spliced from 3 exons. NCBI's taxonomy places the organism in Eukaryota, Metazoa, Chordata, Mammalia, Carnivora, Felidae.